This 484-nucleotide ribosomal RNA is filed under the name Gelanesaurus flavogularis. RNAcentral describes it as "partial 16S ribosomal RNA". It matches the Rfam family "Bacterial large subunit ribosomal RNA", at positions 1849 to 2598 of the family's 2925-position model. The record is from RNAcentral. Lineage: Eukaryota; Metazoa; Chordata; Lepidosauria; Squamata; Gymnophthalmidae.
AAGGUAACGCCUGCCCAGUGAAUUUUUAAACGGCCGCGGGAUCCUCCACCGUGCAAAGGUAGCAUAAUCACUUGUCCCCUAAAUAGUGACUAGUAUGAAUGGCCAAAUGAAGAUUUAACUGUCUCCUAUAGUCAAUCUAUGAAACUAAUCUUCCAGUACAAAAACUGGAAUACUUCCAUAAGACGAAAAGACCCUGUGGAACUUAAAGCAUUAACCACCUAAUGGGACACCUGCUUUUAGUUGGGGCAACUCUGGAAAAAAACAAAACUUCCAUGAUUUAAACAAAAUAUACGUAUUUACUUUAAACUAAACUUUUUGACCCAGUCUAACUGACCAAAGAACCAAGCUACCCCAGGGAUAACAGCGCCAUCCCCUCUUAGAGCCCAAAUCGACGAGCGGGGUUUACGACCUCGAUGUUGGAUCAGGGCCCCCAAACAGUGCAACAGCUGUUAAUGGUUUGUUUGUUCAACAAUUAAUAGCCCUA